UCUCUGGUGGUCUAGUGGCUAGGAUUCGGCGCUUUCACCGCUGCGGCCCGGGUUCGAUUCCCGGUCAGGGAA
Molecule: transfer RNA, 72 nt
Filed under: Bos taurus (domestic cattle)
Lineage: Eukaryota; Metazoa; Chordata; Mammalia; Artiodactyla; Bovidae
Also listed under: 1 other name
Description: tRNA-Glu (TTC) (tRNA-Glu-TTC-7-1)
Rfam family: tRNA
About the family: Transfer RNA (tRNA) molecules are approximately 80 nucleotides in length. Their secondary structure includes four short double-helical elements and three loops (D, anti-codon, and T loops).
Source: Rfam by way of RNAcentral